GGAUUUCCUUUUCUGAAAAGUCAACAAUAAUAAAAAAUCAAUGGUGAUGAUACAAUGACAGUGUAUAUACAUAUUUUUAUCAUUAAGUAUUAGCUCCCGGAUUAUGUGAACUCUGUCAGUAGCAGUGGGUGUGGGGUCCGCCGUAAGAUCAGGUCUGAGAACCCCUAAGAAAAAGGCUUAUAAAUUAAAUAACAUUAAAUAACACUCUUUUCUAUAAAUAAAUAAAAGAAAAUAUACAUGUGUCCAGACUAUAGAUCAUACUCUACAUUACAACUAAUCUUUAUUUAAAUUGAAUAUCAAAAGAAUUUUUCAAUACCAAACUAUUUAAAUAAACAAUCAAUAAAUGGUUUAACAAUGUAAGACCUUAUUGAAUUUUUAAGGUUGAAGGUUCGAUUUUUGAAAGUAACACUUAUCGUGAAAAAUAGUAACAAAUCUCAAAAUGGAUUAAUUACUUAUCAAAAAGAUGAAAAAAUUUCUUUGGUAAUACAAAAAAAAACUAUUUAAAUGAAGUGACUUUUAGCCUAAAUAAAGAGCAAAAAGAACCAUUUACUUUUUAGAGAGAAUCUAUAAUAAAAGGACACUCACACACUCUCCCUUAGGUUCUAACCUUCUUUGCCUUUGUGUUCCUCAAAAACAGAGUACACUCUACACCUUUCAGAAAAGCACAGAGAGAGAAAGAGAAUAUGUUGGG
RNAcentral lists this long non-coding RNA (691 nucleotides) under Lupinus angustifolius (narrow-leaved blue lupine). RNAcentral describes it as "long non-coding RNA (LANG_LNC003305)". Lineage: Eukaryota; Viridiplantae; Streptophyta; Magnoliopsida; Fabales; Fabaceae. The record is from RNAcentral.